CAAUCCUGACUCUUUUUUCACUCAAAUUUUUCUUUAGAGUAUCACAUUAAUGCAUGAGUCUAUUGCCUAGGCAAGUGUUUAUACUUCAUUUCUCUAUUUUUUUUCAUUUCUUUUUCUCUUUUUUUUCGGUAGAAGCGGAUGUUUCUACACAGUUUUGCUUUUUCUUUUUCUUGCACUUGCCCUUUUUCCAACAUUUCUUCUAAGGAUUACCACCCCAAACUUAUCUUUUUGCACAACUUUU
RNAcentral lists this long non-coding RNA (241 nucleotides) under Lathyrus oleraceus (garden pea). RNAcentral describes it as "Pisum sativum (pea) long non-coding RNA (PSAT_LNC031872)". Lineage: Eukaryota; Viridiplantae; Streptophyta; Magnoliopsida; Fabales; Fabaceae. The record is from RNAcentral.